Pan troglodytes (chimpanzee) is the source of this 1308-nucleotide long non-coding RNA. RefSeq lists it as uncharacterized. NCBI's taxonomy places the organism in Eukaryota, Metazoa, Chordata, Mammalia, Primates, Hominidae. The transcript is spliced from 3 exons. The record is from RefSeq and is a predicted model, not a curated record.
CUUUCAUUGCGCAGUUCAGGAACCUGAGGCCUAGAGCAAUGAUAUAUCCAGCCAAAAACAGCCUCCAGCUCGGAGGAAAUGAUACUUUCUGUGAUUUAUGUGAAUAUGACAGUAAAUCCAUAGCACCCAAGGAAGACAUUUCUCAGGAGCAAAAUGAAAACUCAGACAUACAUGAAAAUCCACUGUGCCCAAGUAUCUAAGAACCAAAGAUGUUACAUUUCAAGAAUAAUGUUGCUGUUCACCAAACAUCUGUUGUCCAACUUAUUGAUCUCCUUUGGAGUAAACAAUGAUUUCACAGCCAGAUCACGUUUGACAAUGACUUCAGGAGAAGUGCAGGCUUGUGUAAUUCAAAGAGAGAGAUUUAUGCAGAAAACAUCUCAAGUUGGGUAUAAUUAAUUCCCCUUCAUUUUGGAUAUUAAUGUUAUUAUUUUGACAAGUACAUGUCUUUACUUCCAUGAGAUCAUGUCUUUAUUUUUCAUGAGAAAAUGAAUAUGAUGGGAUAAUUAACAUUAGAAGAGAUAAGAGAAAUAUUCUAUUAUUUCCUUAAAUCAACAUUUUGGACUUAACAUUUGUGUAGAAUGCAUGCAAAAAUAAAUUGUUAGUGUGUGUGAGGUUUCAACUAGUGUUCUUUUGAAAAAGCCAUCUGUAUGAACAAUAUUAUAUUAGCAUGAUUAAUAUAAAUCACUGGAUGUAAAUUUCUCCAACUGUCCUAUAGCAUGAUGCCAAACGUUGAUUAUAAGUAGACUUGGCCUUUUAUGCUCAGUAAGACAUGAUGUCUCUCUUUCUCUCUGUCUCUAUCUCUUAUUUUUUAUUUAUUUAUGUUUUGAGACAGGGUCUCACUCUGUUGCCCAAGUUGCAGUACAGUGGUACCGUCAUGGCUCAGUGCAGACUUCAGUUCCGGGGCUCAAGUAAUCCUCCUGCCUUAGCCUCCUGAGUAGAUGGGAAUACAGGCAUGUGCCACCAUGGCUGGCUAAUUUAUUAUUAUUGUUUUGCAGAGAUGAGGUCUCACUGUGUUGCCCAGGCUGGUCUUGAAUUCCUGGACUCAAGCCAUUUGCCCAUGUUAGCCUUCCCAAAGUGCUAGGAUUACAGGCGUGAGCCACCAUGCCCAGCCUGAAGUUUCUCUUAAGUGAGUUGAAGCAGUUGAAAAUGAACUUAGGGCUGCAUGUGUGGCAUGAUUUACAAAUUAUUUAUCCAGUGUUGUGCCAUAGGAACAUUAAAGUAGGUAUAAUCUCUGAUGCAAAGGCAGAAAUGGAAAGAAAAAAUAGAAAAAAGUGAGACCAUGGGAAACAGAUUAAAAAAAAAAGAAAA